AAGACUAUAGACCUGCGGAGUACCUGCGGAGGGAUCAUUACAGAGUUUACAACUCCCAAACCCACUGUGAACCUUACAGCGUCGUUGCCUCGGCGGACCGCCCCCGGCGCGGCCCCCCUCGGGGGGGCGCCCGGGACCACGGCGCCCGCCGGAGGACCCAAACUCUUGUAUUUGCAGGAUGCAUUGCUCUGAGUGAAAACAAGCAAAUGAAUCAAAACUUUUAACAACGGAUCUCUAGAU
RNAcentral lists this unclassified non-coding RNA (240 nucleotides) under soil metagenome. Its description in RNAcentral is "partial contains 5.8S ribosomal RNA, internal transcribed spacer 2, and large subunit ribosomal RNA". The record is from RNAcentral.